UGGGGAAUAUUGCACAAUGGGCGAAAGCCUGAUGCAGCAACGCCGCGCGAGGGACGACGGCCUUCGGGUUGUAAACCUCUUUUAGCAAGGAAGAAGCGAAAGUGACGGUACUUGCAGAAAAAGCGCCGGCUAACUACGUGCCAGCAGCCGCGGUAAUACGUAGGGCGCAAGCGUUAUCCGGAAUUAUUGGGCGUAAAGAGCUCGUAGGCGGUUUGUCGCGUCUGCUGUGAAAACCCGAGGCUCAACCUCGGGCCUGCAGUGGGUACGGGCAGACUAGAGUGCGGUAGGGGAGAUUGGAACUCCUGGUGUAGCGGUGGAAUGCGCAGAUAUCAGGAAGAACACCGAUGGCGAAGGCAGAUCUCUGGGCCGUAACUGACGCUGAGGAGCGAAAGGGUGGGGAGCAAACAGGCUUAGAUACCCUGGUAGUCCACCCCGUAAACGUUGGGAACUAGUUGUGGGGUCCAUUCCACGGAUUCCGUGACGCAGCUAACGCAUUAAGUUCCCCGCCUGGGGAGUACGGCCGCAAGGCUAAAACUCAAAGGAAUUGACGGGGUCAUAGCUGUUUCCU
This 568-nucleotide ribosomal RNA is filed under the name uncultured bacterium. RNAcentral's name for it is "partial 16S ribosomal RNA". It matches the Rfam family "Bacterial small subunit ribosomal RNA", at positions 355 to 1375 of the family's 1533-position model. The record is from RNAcentral.